Salvelinus sp. IW2-2015 is the source of this 135-nucleotide long non-coding RNA. RefSeq lists it as uncharacterized. The record is from RefSeq and is a predicted model, not a curated record. The transcript is spliced from 2 exons. NCBI's taxonomy places the organism in Eukaryota, Metazoa, Chordata, Actinopteri, Salmoniformes, Salmonidae.
CAACAGGAACAUCUAAUGGUGGAUUCAUCCUUUAGAAGCUGAUGGUUUCAGUCAUGCUUUUGUUUUGACCAGGAAGUUGCUGUGUUCUUGCUACUCUUGCAUGAUUGAAUCAAUAAAAUAUUUUACUUUCCAAUA